UACGUAGGGGGCAAGCGUUAUCCGGAUUUACUGGGUGUAAAGGGAGCGUAGGUGGCAUGGUAAGCCAGAAGUGAAAACCCAGGGCUCAACUCUGUGGAUUGCUUUUGGAACUAUCAAGCUAGAGUGCUGGAGGGGUAAGCGGAAUUCCUAGUGUAGCGGUGAAAUGCGUAGAUAUCAGGAGGAACAUCGGUGGCGAAAGCGCUUUACUGGACCAUUAUUGACGCUGAGGAACGAAAGCCAGGGGAGCAAAUGGG
This 254-nucleotide ribosomal RNA is filed under the name uncultured Eubacteriales bacterium. RNAcentral describes it as "uncultured Clostridiales bacterium partial 16S ribosomal RNA". It matches the Rfam family "Bacterial small subunit ribosomal RNA", at positions 524 to 776 of the family's 1533-position model. The record is from RNAcentral. Lineage: Bacteria; Bacillati; Bacillota; Clostridia; Eubacteriales.